CUACAUUUGAACAACAAAAAUUAUUAAACUAAUGUUAUUGAAUCACUAAAUCAAUUUUCGUAAUAUAAUGUCUUGCCCAAAAUUAUUCAAUGUCUAUUAAAGAACUAUUGGCUCUCCUCCAUUGAUGAAAAAAGGAAUAAAAACCCUAUCAUUUACUAAUGCAUGAAACUACCAAACCCAAGAAUAACUCUUCACAAACAAAAUUUGCAACUAUCCUUUUUUCAAAAAAUUAUUAAAAAGAAAAAAAAUCAUAUAAUUUAUCAUAAAAUAGUAACUUGGGAAAAAAGAAUGCUCAAAGUUCUAACAACUUCACCAACAGAUUCAAGCCACUAAGCAAGUUAUACACAAUUUGUUGGUGUUAUUCUGGUAUUUAGCAAGAAUUGCUAAAGAGGUACUAUUUCUGAAUGUCAAAAGUAAAAGAGAAGAGAAAGGGGUUCACGUUGAUUAAAGACUGAAGGAUUUUAUUUUUUUUUUGGUUAUACACACUCACCCAUUUACACACAUAAUGUAUGGCUCUUUUAUCACUCCAGUUAUAGAUCGAGCCUUUUGUGACAUAUUUGAAAGCAAAAAACUUUACCAUUAGGACAUAACUUCAGCCACAGAGAUAUAGAAUUGUGCGGUAAGAGCAUAAUCGAUCAAAAUACCCUUAGAAUUUUUUCCCUUCAAAGGUAGAUGAUUUUAUUUUAAAACUAAAAUGAAAUGUAUGGUUCACUUAGGACUACAAGCAUAGGGAAAAAAUAAAAAUUAUCCAACACAAAAACUCAAAGACCAAGAAUUAGAGAAAGAGAAUGUUAUUAGAUAGAACUUUCAUCUUCUUUCAAGGGUCACAACAGCGCAAAAGGAGGGAGGGAGAGAGAGAAUGAAUUCAUAUGGGUCUUCUUCCUUUUUCUAUAGCUCGACGAGCAAACUUUGCAACUAAGAGGGGAGAUCUUCUAACUUUUUCAAAGGUGAACUCGUUCUUUGUUCUCCAAAUCCACUAUGCAGAAUAAACGGCCAAAGUUGUUCUGUCUUCUCCUCAUCUUUCAUUCUCUACCGUGUUUAUAAAUCUUAACCACCACCUCCAUGGUUCUUUAAGUUGAGUUGGGACAAAUAUGGAGUUGGCUUUCCAGACUUCAAUUUAAUUGCAUCUGAACAUCCACAAAAACAGUAAUAAAUAGACUCAUCUUCAACUUGGCACUAUGAACAAAGUGACCAGAGUUCAUUGCCGCCACACUAUUUGGAGAGAAAGUAUGGGUUGAGAGAUGGAUCGGGAACUUGCGGGUUGGGGCGGAUGCCGAAUUCUUCGACUGGAGCAACGAGGGGGGAGAUACCUGCAAAGACACUCCGACGCUCAAGGCAAAAUGAAUCUGAGAGGUAUAAGGAGCUCUAAUGGGCCAGUAUAAAGCCUUCUAGAAGAGUGGUGCGGUUUAGUCCCGGGUAGUCAGCUUCAGAGGCUAUUCCGGGUAUGGAAUCUGUAGGCCGGAUCCAUAACAGUUGCCCCCGCAGCAGGAGAGCGAACAAGGUCGGUCUUCAUCGCUGGAGGAUACGGUUUUGGCCAUUCACGGCCUUCCUUGAUAUGCCAGAACGGGAGGUAAGGUUCUCGGGGAUUUACUCGACGGGCCUGCCUAUGGCGGAAGGGCGGCGUGUCGGGUCUUUAGAAUGGGUCAGUUUGUAGGGUUUGUCAGCCUCGUAGUCUGUGUUGCGGUUGGUGUGAACUUUCCGUCUUCUUGCGCUUGUUUCAUUUUCAAAUGUGUGUUGUCAGUUACAUUUUUUAGAGAGAGCACUUAUUGCGUGAAGGGGCUUGGGCUGCCUUUCCAAUUUUGCCUUUCUAUGUCUGUUGGUUGUAAAGGGUAUUUUUGGUUUUUCAUUCUUCACAACCGUGUUGGUUUUUUGCUUUUUCUUCCUUCGUCUGUUUCAUUUUUCCAGUCUUCCUAGUUUCAUAUCCACUUCACUUUUUUCUGCUUUGUUCUGCUUAUGUGUAUUUUGGCUCUGUGUUUGUGCUGUCUCUCUACUCUGCACCCAUUUUCUGCCAGUUGCUUUUAUCAGGCAUGUCUCAGCGGAGAAGGGAGGGUGUGGGUGCUCCAGCGAUUCCGACGGGGGCGUCUCCCGCCUCUAUUAUUGGGUGACCUUGACAAACCCCAUUUUGAGGGUUUAUCUUGUGUUGAUUUCAGGGGUUUUAUCAAUGAUUCCACACACUUUCUAUAUGAAAAUACAAGAUUUUGUAUUCCUUUCCUAGUUUUGCCCCAUGGAUGAAAACAUGCUUAUUUUACACUAAAAUAGAUACAUUUCUAAUCUUCUCUUGAUGCCAUUCGAUGCCGUUACUUGUGUGUUAAGUGGUUUCAAAAUAUAGGGCAGGGAUGGACCGGAAGAGAGAAGGAGGAUGGGAGCAAAGGAAGGGAGCAUGAGAAUUAAGCCUUGGAAAUCUCAGCAUGGGCGCGUGCGCGCACUUGACGCGUCCGCGUGGAUAGAGCAGCUGGAAGUCGAAGCCAAGAGCCAAGCCACGAGCCGACUUGCGUAGCGGCUAAGCCAUGAUCUUCAUGGGCGCGCACGCGUACGUCACGCCUCCGCGUACAUUACAAGAUGCAUUGGUGGCGCGCACGCGUACCUUGCGCGUGCGCGCCGAUGUUUGAAUAUGAUUUUUUAAGAAGCCACGUGACUUAGGCGUGGAGUUAGUUGGGAAUCCCAUUUUUGGGGAAUGCCUUGGCGGGAAAAGCUUAAGAAGACCAAAGGAGCAAGGGUUAAGGAGUUUUUAGUUCAUUUUUAGAUUUUAGAUAUUUUUUGAGGGAUAGUUAGUUACACUCUUGGAGGAGAAGAGAGAGAUCCCAAGCUCUCACUAGGGUUCUUCUUCAUCCAAUUUCUGAAUUUUCAAUCACUCUUUGGUGAGAUCCAUUCCAAUUCUCACUUUACUUUGUUCAUGUCAUAGAUUUUCUUCUCCAAUUUCAAGUAGUAGUUGUAAUUGCUCAAUUCUCAUAGAUCUAGAAUU
Arachis stenosperma is the source of this 2962-nucleotide long non-coding RNA. RefSeq lists it as uncharacterized. The transcript is spliced from 4 exons. Lineage: Eukaryota; Viridiplantae; Streptophyta; Magnoliopsida; Fabales; Fabaceae. The record is from RefSeq and is a predicted model, not a curated record.